This 253-nucleotide ribosomal RNA is filed under the name Myxococcales bacterium. RNAcentral's name for it is "partial 16S ribosomal RNA". It matches the Rfam family "Bacterial small subunit ribosomal RNA", at positions 524 to 776 of the family's 1533-position model. The record is from RNAcentral. RNAcentral also lists the same sequence under 1 other name. Lineage: Bacteria; Pseudomonadati; Myxococcota; Myxococcia; Myxococcales.
GACAGAGGGUGCAAACGUUGCUCGGAAUCACUGGGCGUAAAGGGCGUGUAGGCGGGAAGAUAAGUCGGGCGUGAAAUCCCCAGGCUCAACCUGGGAACUGCACUCGAAACUGUUUUUCUUGAGUGCCGGAGAGGAAAGCGGAAUUCCUGGUGUAGAGGUGAAAUUCGUAGAUAUCAGGAGGAACACCAGUGGCGAAGGCGGCUUUCUGGACGGUAACUGACGCUGAGACGCGAAAGCGUGGGGAGCAAACAGG